Pelobates cultripes (western spadefoot toad) is the source of this 216-nucleotide non-coding RNA. Lineage: Eukaryota; Metazoa; Chordata; Amphibia; Anura; Pelobatidae. The record is from the annotation of a GenBank genome assembly.
CUGGAUAUUACCAUGUGAGGAGAGAGAUAAUACCGUAUUCCCACAGCAGUCACUAGCGAUUGCUGGGAGAAGUGACAUAACUUGACAGGGUAGCUCUGUCUUGUCACACAUUGGAUUUACCAUAAGGCAAAGAAGUUCCUACUUUGUCUUAUGAGAACUUGACUGUGUUAUAAUUUUAAAUUAAAUGCCAACACAGUCUUUGAGCAUUUCAUAAAG